GACAAAUGCAGGGGACAGGUCACAAUGAUUUGGCAGAGCCUUUCCUUUGCUGUAUGUGUGCUGACUUUUUGGACUAUUGGACACGCUACAGGCUGUGGUGAUCGACAGAUCCGGAUAAAUGGACGGUGCUGCAAUCUGUGCCCCCCAGGUACUUAUAUGGCAGAGUUCUGCUCUGACAAAGAGCAAACUGUCUGCAUUUCUUGUCAAGAGGGACAUUUUUCAGAUCACUACUCUGUUUUUGACAGAUGUGAGCCAUGCCAGUCUUGCCAACAAGAAUAUUCUGAGAAAUGUACUCCGACCACAAAUGCGACCUGUUCUUGUCGCUCUGGUUUCCUGUGUUCCAACAGCAUCUGCUCAAUUUGUGAGGAAAACAAAUGUGUCACGGGUGAGAAACCGAAGAGGACAGAAAUUUCAUCAGGUGCAGGGGUGACAAAGUAUUCAUAUCACUGUGAGCCUUUAUGCCCUGAGAAUGCAUACUUUGAUGCAGGACGGAAUAGCUGCCAGUCAAUAAUACCGUGCAGUAUGUUGGAACGUGCCGAACGGUUUCCAGGGAACAAAACACACCCACCGGUUUGUGAUAAACCUGAUGUGCACAGAGACUCGUCCACUCAUGUGAUUCUUGGCAUCGGCUUUGUUUCACUCUCUGUCAGCCUCCUUCUGGUUCUGUCUUAUACCUGCAUGAAGAACCAAAGGCAGCACGCAAUAAAUAAAAGCCCUGUCCUAGCAGCCUCUACAAACAACAAUGAGUUUCAUCUGUCAAAGGAGGAAAGUGGACACCAGCUCAUCAGCCAGACAGAAUCCAAAGACAGCAACAGUUUGGACCAAGUGCACCUGGAAAAAGUCAUCUCUUUGUGACAAUAAGUCUAAGAUACCAUGGUCAGUGUGUUCAGCCACAAGCACAGUGAUAAUAUCUAUGUAAUCGCAUAAGUUAUGUAACUCAGUAUCAAUACAAAUGCAAACAUGGAGAUGGAGAAGUGUGCUAAGGUUGCAGUUGUGGACUUGUUGAAAAGUUUGAAAGGUUGAUCUCCAGUGGGAUUUUUCUCAGAAGGAAAGUGAAAGACCAGUACUUGUCCUUACGCCAUUAUCAUUGUGGAGGUGUCUUUAAGCAAAUUGUGUAACCUCAGUCUACUUGAGUGGAGCUUCUGAAUAGAUCACAUGAAGAUUAUGAGUGUGGAGACCAAGAAUAGUAAGUAGAAAUACUGAAGUGUAAUGUGGAACAAUUUUGGUGUCCACUGUCCACUGAACUACUAAAAAUGUGCCUCUAAAAAAAUCUUCUGGAAAAUCAAAUUUAUUUUAGAAAAACAUACAUGUUUAUAUUUGCAACAAUCCUACCUCUCUUUUUUUGUAAUGUGAUAAGGAUAAUUUGUGGCUGUGGGAGUUUGCUGUAGAUAACAGCUCCUGCCUUAAUGAAAGUAGAAUCACUCAAUACUAAUAGAAUUUUGGGGGAAAAUUUUAUAACAUGUCACUGUCCUGGAGUGUGACACAUCUGAUCCACCAACUCAUUUUGUGCUCACUGUGAAGUGCUUUAAUGUCUUUUUGGAAGAAGAAAUACUUGCUUUGUAUAUGUUAAACUGUCAACUAGAUGGUUAUUGACAGACACGUAUGAAUCCUUUUCUUCUACCAACAUGAGAAAACGAUACGAGUUUUCUCAUUAACAGGAGAAAUGCUUCUUCAAGAACCAUUUCAUUUUAUAAAUAGCUUAUUUGAACUAUAAGGCUCACACUUGAUUACAACAUCAUGUGAAUGAUUGUCAUUACGAUGAUUUACAAAAUAAAAUCAUUGCAUAAGACAUAUAAAUAUUUUCUUUUUUGAAGCUUCUUUUUGGUCUGAUUUGUUCCUUAAAAAAAGGAAUAAUUAAGUUUAGAGAAAUGUGAAACUUCUUGUAAUCAAAGGUGAGCAGAUUUUUUUUCUGAUUAAAAUGUGAUAUUUUCCAUAUUUAAAGAUUUUCAUGAUGAAAAGAAAUGCAACAGUGUUUAGGCGUCAGAUGAAAAUGAGUGUUUUGUUUUUUGUGGAAAUUAUUACAUAUAAUUAAAACUGUGUGAUUGGCACUGAUGUUGUCAUAGCAACAAGGAAAUAUUUUCAUUAUAACAACAUGCAAAAAUGAGAAAAGCUGUAAUCAAACCGUUAUAUGUGAUGUAUAUAGUUAUAUAUGCCAUGAACAGAGCUGAAAUGUUGAGGUUUUGAGUUGUACAUGCACUUUUUUUUUUUUUUUUUUUUUUUAAAGAAAAUGACUAAUCAGUAACAUUUGGUAAAUUACAGAAACAUUUCGUGCUGUGAAAACUGACACAUUGGACUGCUGGUUUAGCAUCGUCCCCUCAUAGCUAGAAGACCCCCUGUUCACGUCCUGGCCUGGGAUCUUUCUGUGUGGAGUUUUCAUGUUCUCCCUGUGCAGCGUGGGGUUUCACUGGGUUCUCCCCGAGUCCAAACACAUGCUGAGGUUUACUGGUGAUUCUAAAUUGUCCGUAGGUGUGAAUGCAAGUGUGCUUGGUUGCCUGUCUCUCUGUUUGUAGCCCUGUGAUAGACUGGCAACCUGUCCAGAGUGAACCCGCCCACGAGGAUUAAGUGGUCUACAGAUGAUGGAUGGAUGGAUGUACAUCAAAAAAAUUUGGCUAAAUGUUGUAAGGAAAGAUGAUUUUGGUGUAUUAAAAACAACAUAGCUGAUGUUGUAAUUGUGGAUUUUGCAAUAUUUACAAAAAUGUAACAGAUAUAGUCCUCUUAUUAAAUGCUAUGAACCUGUUGUAUUAAAAGGUGAGUUGUUUUAUAUCGAUUAAAAUGUGAUAAUGUCUUUGUUUAA
Amphiprion ocellaris (clown anemonefish) is the source of this 2794-nucleotide long non-coding RNA. NCBI's taxonomy places the organism in Eukaryota, Metazoa, Chordata, Actinopteri, Pomacentridae. The record is from Ensembl.